This is a long non-coding RNA of Athalia rosae (coleseed sawfly), 3151 nucleotides long. RefSeq lists it as uncharacterized. The transcript has 2 exons. The record is from RefSeq and is a predicted model, not a curated record. NCBI's taxonomy places the organism in Eukaryota, Metazoa, Arthropoda, Insecta, Hymenoptera, Athaliidae.
CUCAGUUUGAAUGAGAAGAAAAAAAAAUGUACAUGCUAUUCGAAAGUCCUUUGAAGAUGAAAACCGAUUUUUGAACGCUUAUGAUAUCAUCAAAAUUAAAAGCGAUAUUUUUAAUAAAGAAAAAACGGAGCUCAUGAAAAUGUAUUCAUGUUUCACGAGCGACCAGUGUUUGCUUUUAUCCAGCUGUAUUCGUACCAGCCGUAGUCGUAGGCGGUGUACCGAAUGAAAUUGCUCUAUCAAUAAAUUGCAUAACACGUUACAGCUCACAAUCAGACGAAGCUGUCCAGUGCCUACAUAGUCCAGAGUCAUAGUAUUUCCAGUCGGACAUACAGUCAUUCGUCGAGUCAAACGCUCCAGUUUUAUCCUUGCAAAUCAUACUUGUUAGCCAUAAAUCCUAUAGAUUUUGGAUUAUCACGAGGACAUGCUUUCAAAAUUUAUCCCAUGUAUUUUUUUCUUAGCAAACUUACGGACUGCAGUUUAUAUAGUGCUCGCAACUGUGUUUCAUCCAGGGUUGUGUAAUCAGAUGUCUCACGGAAUUUUGUCGGCCACUCGAUACGUGCUAUAUAGCCUAAUUAGCAAUGUAUAAAUUAAUCGCCGAUGAGUGUAAGAAACUUAUUACUUCACGGAAUUGAAGGUCACGCAGGUGGAAAGUUUUGGAUAAUGAAAAAUGUGAAUAAUUUUGAGGCAGUUCACUUAUGCUAACGAAUAUCACGAUGGGAGGUGAUUUUUCGCAACUCUGUCUAUCGUUAAUCUUCAUGUAGCGCGAUGUUACGGAAAAUUCCGAUGAAAUUCCGUGCAAAUAUGACAAGUCUAAUCGUAUAGAUCAUUUGCAGAUAUCAUUGAUGGAGGAACGCGAAAAAGUGAGGAACCAUCACGUGUGACUAUUAGGUUUUUUUAUUUAAAUCUACCUCUUCUACGUCUCAUCGACUCGUAUGUAUAUGUACACGUGUAUUCACGUAGGUACCUAUUUUCAAGGAAGAAAUAUUGCCAAAUUUCAACUAUAUUAGCUCCGCAGCUACACACACCUAGUAUUGACUGUAGAAUAUAUUCAAUUCAAUAUAGAAUAUGCUUGUUCAAGUGUUCGAUGUGUUUAUGGACGCUAUUUGCCAUUUUUUUUUUCACAUUAUGUAGUGGCAGAAUAUAUUACGAUAUAUUAAUACCAAGUAAUUAUUAUUUGCUUCUUUGACUAUCACAAUACGUCAUCCUUAUAUGUGUAGAAUUUUUUGAUUUUAGCGAUGUCUUGUAAGUGUAGCAAAUCAGCCGAUUCCACAUUCUCUGCAAGGAUGUUGUACGGCCAUGAUCCGGUCGAGAAAAUUCUUGCCUUGUACUCUAUAGAUCCGAUCUAAUUCUGAAGAAACGUAGGCCAGUCAAAAUUUUUAGGUUUUCUCAUCUCGAGUGAGAUCUCCUCGCGCUAAAUGGCCGGCUGUUAUACACGACAUAAAUUUCUGGCUCAUGCGAAAUGAUAAGUAUGAAAUGACAUGGAUAUACACUUGAUGAAUUCCUUCACACGAUGAUCAAUUAUUACAUAAUCUAUUUAUACUUGGAAAAUUUGAGAAUUCUGUGUAUUUGUGUAAUGUGUUUCUGUGUGUACCUGUCUUAUGCGUAUCUAGAUUUCGCCGCCCACCUGUACGUAUUACAUAAUAUUGGCAUAUAGCUGGCACAUUGAUUUGUUCAAUAUGAGAUUGUCUCUCGGGUGAAACGGACGAGUAGCAUUGACCCGGAAAAGUUUUCUGCUAUACAGGCACCAAGCGAUUUCGCACGAUGGGUUAAAUUUACUCUCUUCCAAUACCUAUUUUUCAUUUCAUAAUUUUUUUUCCCACUCUUCACAAAUUCAAUGUUAAUAUAAUUUAGAAAAUAAAACAGCUUCGGGCGGCGACCAUAGCUCCACCAUCGUGCAGCCUCUUUCUUAUUUUUAUCCGUAGCCUCCGUGUACGUCUAGUAGUGCACGCGUAUUCGGCAGCCCCUAGGCACAGCCAUCGUAGAUAAAUCCGAUUUGCUCGGCCUUGGCAUUUGCUUUUCACACGUGUCCAUGGUGCAUGAGGCAAGGCGAGCUGUGCCAUAUGUUUGAUAGCGGAAGAGUAACAACGUGGGAUGGCGGGGGAUUGAAUUUUUUUUUUUUUUUCGAACCACGUAGGAUUUUGUGGUCAAUCUUUAUUUUCUCUAUUUUUUGCGUUAGAUCCAAAAUAUUAAUAAAUGAACGCAAAAAUUUUCCAUCGUACUAUGUAGUUCAAUCGCAACCACUGAUGAUCGUUUCGGUUGAACCUCGCUGUUCAUUCAUUUAUUUCUUUUUUCUAACGAAAAUAACUGGAGCAAAAUUCUUGUACGUGAAAAAGUAUCAAGACUGGUAACAUUACAUUGCCUAGUCUCAAUAAUUAUUAUCAUGUUAUAGUCCGGUGGAAAAUCGUAGCGCUUAUAUAAUUUCUGGCUGAAUUGAACUUGCUAAGUUUCUGAACUUCUGCGAAGUUGGCUCCUCAUUUCCCUCAAAAUGUAUUAACCGCAGUAUUGUUGUGAGAAUAUUAUUGCUAAUCUGUACGUCUGGUGUGUUCGGUGUAUGAAUAUAGUGUUGCAACAUUUGUUUUUGGCGCCAAUUCUUGGCAGUGCCAAUUCUCACCUGCACGAUUCUUUUUUCCGGCCUUGCAAACUGUAAUCUGUACGUAACAUAGGUUCGAAGGACAUUCGAAAUUUACAGCACAUCUUAGGAACCCUUAUAGAAUUCCAUCAAACAGCUCCUUUUUGAGCAUCGACGUUCACAGACGAUAUUCACAAUUCGGUGCGGUAUGUAUGCACAUACACGGAGGUGUGAGAUUGGAAAAUUAGUGCCUGUGAAUAAUGAAUGUAGAUACAUACAUGUGCACACAUCUAUAAUUGUGUUAUACCGAAAGAAAACAAAUUCAACUUCGAACUACGAUUGAUGGUUGUUAAAUCUCGUUAUUACAUAGCUCCUAAUGGUAGGUCAAUAAUUGUCAACCUAGAAAAUGUGUGCUCUGCCCGAAUGUUGCAUAAGAGUCACAAUCUUGUAACCGUAUUUACUGAAGAUAUUGAUCGUAUACAAAUUUGCGGUACCACUCUAGAAAAUUGUGGGUCUGCGAGUAUCCUAUAUCUUUUUUGUACGUCAAUUCACGAAUUUUUGGCUACGGAAAAAUAUGCCAAA